Long non-coding RNA from Triplophysa dalaica, 1155 nucleotides. RefSeq lists it as uncharacterized. Lineage: Eukaryota; Metazoa; Chordata; Actinopteri; Cypriniformes; Nemacheilidae. The record is from RefSeq and is a predicted model, not a curated record. The transcript has 3 exons.
CUGCUUCAGGUGAGGCUGAAGAUGAUGAGAUCAAUGACGAGAUAUGUGAUGAUAAUGAGGAUGUGGAUGGUGUUGAGGUGGACUUUGUAGAGCUCACAACUGUUUUAGAUGAAGAUGAUGGCUUACAAUUCCAACUUCCGAAACAUCAUCGAUGUGCCUGCCACUUAUUAAACUUGGUUUCCACGGUGGACGCAGCAAAAGCCUGUUCAAAUGAAGCUUACAAGAAGCUGUCCCGAUCAGCAUUCUCUAAGUGUCAUGCACUAUGGAAUAAGUGUGGCAGAUCUGCUGCUACAGAGAUUAUAGAAGACGCUUGCAAAAUUCAGCUGAUCCGUCCCAACGCAACAAGAUGGAAUUCCUUAUUUCUCGCCAUUGAGAGAAUGCUUCGAAUAAUAAAAAAUCAGGGAGAGGGGGCUAUCAGAACCGUCUGCUCUUCACUUAAGUUGCCAAUGUUGAGUCCAGUUUAAAUUAUCCUUGUGGAGGAGUAUGCCAGAACCAUGAGCCCCGUUGCCAAAGCCCUCAACAUUCUUCAGGCUGAAAUUGAUGUUGAGAUGAUAUGGCUUCUGCCUACUCUGACCCUCCUCAUCUCGAAACUUGACCGAAUUGGCAUUACCUCCAGGUACUGCAAACCUCUGGUUGAUUCCCUCCAAAAGGCCUGCAGCAGCCCUUUGGAGACAUGCUGGUGGAGCCAGAGUUAAUUGCGGCUGCAAUCCUUGUCCCGAAAUUUAAAACAUCCUUGACAUCAGAUGAAAACAUUGUCAAACUAGGCCUGGACUACAUCAAGGACCAUCUGGAGGAAGAGACUUUGAAUCAUCUGCCAGUUGUUGGUUCCAGUGGCUCUGAGGAAGAGGACUUCUUUGCGAGCAUGAAGCCUACUCAUGGUCAGGAAGGUAUCAAGCAGUUAGAUGGCUACCUUGCCUGCAAAGCUGAUGACAAAAUAAUUAUCAAGUCCUUCCCAUCAAUCUGUAAGUUGUCUUAGAAGCUCAAUACUGCUUUACCCGCCUCUGCAGCUUGUGAACGUCUUUUAAGCACAGCAGGGCUUAUUUUCAUCCCAGGAGGGCAAGAAUGGACUCAAACAACUUUGAGAAUCAGCUCCUUCUCAAGCUGAAUAAAAGAUAUUGCAACUUUAGUUAGAUUGUUAAUUAAGAUCAUCAGUGC